GUUUUCUUGGAGGAAUUUCGGUCAAGAUUUCUGCCCUAAAGCUGUCCAACUAAGUUCUUGAGGAUCUCAAGAGGACUUCGAGGGAACUCCCGGCGAAGCGUCUUAGAGCUAAUUUCUCAAACUUUGACUUUUGAUACUUGGUUUGGAAGUGGAAGUUC
Molecule: non-coding RNA, 158 nt
Organism: Coffea arabica (coffee)
Lineage: Eukaryota; Viridiplantae; Streptophyta; Magnoliopsida; Gentianales; Rubiaceae
Source: RefSeq, a predicted model, not a curated record